This 227-nucleotide ribosomal RNA is filed under the name uncultured bacterium. RNAcentral describes it as "partial 16S ribosomal RNA". It matches the Rfam family "Bacterial small subunit ribosomal RNA", at positions 524 to 748 of the family's 1533-position model. The record is from RNAcentral.
UACGUAGGGUGCAGGCGUUGUCCGGAAUUAUUGGGCGUAAAGAGCUCGUAGGCGGUUUGUCGCGUCUGCUGUGAAAACUCGAGGCUCAACCUCGGGCUUGCAGUGGGUACGGGCAGACUAGAGUGCGGUAGGGGGUGACUGGAAUUCCUGGUGUAGCGGUGGAAUGCGCAGAUAUCAGGAGGAACACCGAUGGCGAAGGCAGGUCACUGGGCCGCAAACUGACGCUG